UCGUCAAUCACACAACUAUAAUAAAAACUUAACUGAAUAAAUUAACUGCAGAAUAGUCAGCUUGUUCUCCAUUGUUGGAAGUUGAAAAAGUUCAUUGGAAUUUCGAACAGAAGUAAACAUACUCAACUUCUUCAAGUAAUCUGAUUUGGAAUUUCCAACCGAAGUAAACAAACUCAACUUCAAGUAAUCUGAUGUCAUUAUUGAAUUCGUAACUAAGAGAUCAUACAAACUCAAUUAUUAAGCUAUUCCAAAUUCGAACUAAGCAACAAAUGCAAUCAGAAGCUGAAAGGAUCAAAGGGUAUAUCAAAAUAAUAUGUUCUCCAGUCUCUUUAUAUGUACGUGCCAAGUAUUUAAUUCAAUCCACAACCAAUCACUCUAACCCUACAAAUAAAAAUCUUAUUCUGUAAAAGAGGGGAGAAAAAUACUUAGCAGCAUUAGAUGUCCAACAAAAAUAUUAGAAACUCUGACUUAGGUCUAGGUACAAUGAAGCUUAUCAUUGUGCACUCCAAAGUCUGCAACACAAGUUGUGUGCAUCCAUAUCAUAUGGUAACGCCAGGAUGGCAAAUAAUUACCCACUUUUAUCAUACGGUUAUAGCACAGCCUUGUCAUAUUGAAAACAUGUAAGCGCUUUCCUAAUAAUUACCCACUUUUAUCAGAUUAAGCAUUGUUUUCGAUGGAAUCCGAAAACAAUAAUUUCUUUAGUUGUACUAUGUAGCAACUUACAUAAAUACCAAAAACCAUAUUCUUGAUUAGCUAUCCCUCAGUGUUUAGCCAACGUGAAGAUGUCCAGAUACAUGUCUAGAACUCAUAUAUUGGGGUUGAUGAUGUUAUAGAAGGUCCAACUUUUGCAAGUGCAUCUGUAUUUAACUGUCGUGUUUCAUUGUCAGCAGCAUCAUUCAUAUGUCUUCUAGCCAAACCUUCAAAUGCCAACUCCACUUAAGGUUGUUUAUUACAUAGUAAUGAAUAAUGUUUGUAAACUAUUAUGUUCUAUAUAACAACUAUGUUACCUUGCAUAUUGAAUAGAAGACUUGUUAGGAUGGAGGGUUGAUACAUGUGGACUGCAAGUGUUGAGUGAAUUGAAGAUUUUGGUUGCCACCCUACAUGAAAUAACAUUAUUAGUGCAUCGUAUAUUUUCAAUGCAAUUAAACCAUACACUGAGUACUAACCAUAAGGAAGUGUGUAUUUGAGAAAGGUAGCAGCACGUGUAAUUGUUGAGGUAACUAAACGAUGGGUGCAUCAGUUCCCAUAUUACUUGCACGAACCUUCGAUUUCUUCCCUUCGUUGAACUCGAAGUUGGCUACAAAACAGGGAAUGGUAUUAGACAUUAUCUCUACAAUAACUUUACAACAUUUGGAUACCAAAAUCUGGGCAUUACCUUAACUCUGUUCAUACUUGAUUCCAAUGGGCUAUUCUUCUGAAGUUUCCUAGGGGCACAUUUUCUUUUCGCACAUUCUGGAUCCCUGAUGCUACCACUUCCAAUAUCCAGUGAUGCUCCAUACUCGGAUGAUGUCUGAGUAAUAUGCGGGGAUAGGAUAUUACUAUUACUAUUUGACUUCUACAUCAUCAUUUCUUUACAUUGACUAUCGAUCCACUCAAUUAUGACAUUGGAUUUGACUUCAUCAUCUG
RNAcentral lists this long non-coding RNA (1626 nucleotides) under Olea europaea subsp. europaea. The record is from RNAcentral. Lineage: Eukaryota; Viridiplantae; Streptophyta; Magnoliopsida; Lamiales; Oleaceae.